Molecule: transfer RNA, 67 nt
Filed under: Drosophila sulfurigaster albostrigata
Lineage: Eukaryota; Metazoa; Arthropoda; Insecta; Diptera; Drosophilidae
Description: tRNA-Glu
Source: RNAcentral
AUUUAUAUAGUUUAAUAAAAACCUUACAUUUUCAUUGUAAAAAUAAAAAUCUUUUUUUUUAUAAAUU